AUUGAACGCUGGCGGCAGGCUUAACACAUGCAAGUCGAGCGGGGGAAGGUAGCUUGCUACUGGACCUAGCGGCGGACGGGUGAGUAAUGCUUAGGAAGCUGCCUAUUAGUGGGGGACAACAUCUCGAAAGGGCUGCUAAUACCGCAUAAGUCUUACGGGAGAAAGCAGGGGAUCUUCGGACCUUGCGCUAAUAGAUGGGCCUAAGUUGGAUUAGCUAGUUGGUGGGGUCAGGGCCUACCAAGGCGAAGGUCUGUAGCGGGUCUGAGAGGAUGAUCCGCCACACUGGGACUGAGACACGGCCCAGACUCCUACGGGAGGCAGCAGUGGGGAAUAUUGGACAAUGGGGGGAACCCUGAUCCAGCCAUGCCGCGUGUGUGAAGAAGGCCUUAUGGUUGUAAAGCACUUUAAGCGAGGAGGAGGCUACUCUAGUUAAUACCUAGGGAUAGUGGACGUUACUCGCAGAAUAAGCACCGGCUAACUCUGUGCCAGCAGCCGCCGUAA
Molecule: ribosomal RNA, 501 nt
Filed under: uncultured bacterium
Lineage: Bacteria
Description: partial 16S ribosomal RNA
Rfam family: Bacterial small subunit ribosomal RNA
Source: RNAcentral